Leopardus geoffroyi (Geoffroy's cat) is the source of this 832-nucleotide long non-coding RNA. RefSeq lists it as uncharacterized. The transcript is spliced from 2 exons. The record is from RefSeq and is a predicted model, not a curated record. NCBI's taxonomy places the organism in Eukaryota, Metazoa, Chordata, Mammalia, Carnivora, Felidae.
UUUUAUUCUGGGAAGAACACAAGUGUCACGGCAAUUCCAAUGACACAGGUCAUAUCCUGGUGGUAGCGGCAGUUCCCCGUCUCCCCAGAGAUGCUGCAAUUGAGUGGCACAUCAUUGCAGUGGUGGACGAACCAUUUAGAAGGAAGUAUUUUGCUUUGAAGACAAUACUGAGGGUUUUCAAAUUGAGUGUGAAGCGGUGGCAUCCAGUUCUGCAUCAAGUACCUCAAUUGCCAUUUCCUUCAAGAUGGACGUCACUGUCUAUUUCCGCACCUGAUUUAAACAGGACACUAGAAGACCUUAUGGCUAUGCUUCUAGAAGCAAGAAGUCUCUGAAGACAGCCAAACCGCACCGCUGUGUUUUUGAAGAUUCUAUAGAAAAGACAGCAUUCAUGCCAAAGUACUACAUGCAGACUAAACAGAAUUAUGACAAUUGUGUCAUACUGACCCUGUGGUGCUCUUUUCUUUAUAUUAUGAGGAAGAGAGCAAGCCACAGGUGACUCUGGCCACCAUCCAGUGAUCAGUCACCUGACCCUUGAGUGGAUAGUUAUGCAUAGAAUCCGUGUUAUCUGAGUUCAGGUUCAAUGUCCUUUUCACUGCUCCACUGACUGCUGCAAGAAGAGAAGAACAGGUAUAUGGGAACUAGAUAAAGAAAUACUUUCCCAUGUCACUGGGAAGCCUGUCAGUGGCUUUGAAACUGGCUCCUAAAGGGAAAAACAGAAACUCUACUAAUAAACUCAGUGCCUAAUGAGCAUCACCAAAUCUUUUUGCAGCCUUGGGAUUUUCUAUCAUUUAAUCUUUUGUGAAAUAAAAGGCACCAUCAUGGCCAUACCAUA